GGGGUAGAGUAGACACCACCCGAUAGUUCAGGGGGUGAUGUAGACUUUUUCCCAUAUAUUUUUGGUUACUGAUUGGGAGCUCACACUGGGCCAGUCUAAAGGUAGAGUUACAUAGAUGCCGAUCAAUUUAUAGAUAUUUUUCCUACUUAGUUAGAAGAAAACAAUAACAAAAUAAUUAUUUUUUUUGAAGAAAAACAAAAUGAUUAUUAUCUCGUUGAAGUCGCCCA
RNAcentral lists this long non-coding RNA (227 nucleotides) under Sorghum bicolor (sorghum). RNAcentral's name for it is "long non-coding RNA (SBIC_LNC003501)". Lineage: Eukaryota; Viridiplantae; Streptophyta; Magnoliopsida; Poales; Poaceae. The record is from RNAcentral.